GAUGAACGCUGGCGGCGUGCCUAAUACAUGCAAGUCGAGCGAACAGACGAGGAGCUUGCUCCUCUGACGUUAGCGGCGGACGGGUGAGUAACACGUGGAUAACCUACCUAUAAGACUGGGAUAACUUCGGGAAACCGGAGCUAAUACCGGAUAAUAUAUUGAACCGCAUGGUUCAAUAGUGAAAGACGGUUUUGCUGUCACUUAUAGAUGGAUCCGCGCCGCAUUAGCUAGUUGGUACGGUAACGGCUUACCAAGGCAACGAUGCGUAGCCGACGUGAGAGGGGGAUCGGCCACACUGGAACUGAGACACGGUCCAGACGCCUACGGGAGGCAGCAGUAGGGAAUCUUCCGCAAUGGGCGAAAGCCUGACGGAGCAACGCCGCGUGAGUGAUGAAGGUCUUCGGAUCGUAAAACUCUGUUAUUAGGGAAGAACAAAUGUGUAAGUAACUAUGCACGUCUUGACGGUACCUAAUCAGAAAGCCACGGCUAACUACGUG
This 497-nucleotide ribosomal RNA is filed under the name uncultured bacterium. Its description in RNAcentral is "partial 16S ribosomal RNA". It matches the Rfam family "Bacterial small subunit ribosomal RNA", at positions 28 to 507 of the family's 1533-position model. The record is from RNAcentral.